RNA transcript from Fragaria vesca subsp. vesca, 404 nucleotides. RefSeq lists it as uncharacterized. The transcript has 4 exons. Lineage: Eukaryota; Viridiplantae; Streptophyta; Magnoliopsida; Rosales; Rosaceae. The record is from RefSeq and is a predicted model, not a curated record.
GACCAAAAACGACGUGGGAGGUUGUUGGAACACGUAUAACAUCGAACUCAGAGAGAAGAGAGAAGAGAAGAGCAAAAUCAGUCCGAGAUGAACCCAGAAUAAUUGUUGAUUAGGACUACGAAUGCGGGGAUAUCAAUCAUAUGAAAGACAGUUAUGGUGUUGGUCUGUUGGAUUACUUCUUUGACUCACUUUACGAACUUCCAAUGUCUUUCAUUGCAGAAAGAGAACUCAUGAUGAAAACAUUGUAGGUUCCAUCUCACAAAGGCUUAUUCAUAACUCCACUGCAGAUGGAUUGUCUCAGUGUAACACUGCCUGCCUCUAGCUUUCAUUUGGCCGAUUUGGGUAAUCAAAGUUUUCCAUUUGUAUAUUUUAGUCUUGCAUUUGUGAUGUAAUAUUUCUGUUUC